Molecule: long non-coding RNA, 504 nt
Filed under: Sorghum bicolor (sorghum)
Lineage: Eukaryota; Viridiplantae; Streptophyta; Magnoliopsida; Poales; Poaceae
Description: long non-coding RNA (SBIC_LNC004631)
Source: RNAcentral
CUUAGAAUAGGAGCAAAGCAACACAGGGCAUUUGUUAUUUUUAUAGCUCUCAAUCUAUCAUGCCUAAAUUUAUGAAACUAUAUGUACUGUUAAAACUUCAAACUAAAACAUGCAAUAAUAUAGAUCUACUGCAUAGAGAAUUUCACAAGGAUUGCAAAAACUCCACAUUUGCUAUUUUACGAUUUUUAUAUGAAUUUCUAAUGCAUUUCCAAAGUUCAACCAUGAAAUCUGCAAAAAAAAAAAGGAAAACAGAUCUUGCACCGGGGACCCUACAUUUUCCAUGAAUCAUGCUAUAACCCAGAAACACUAUUUAUAUGAGUCUCGGCUUCGUAUCUGGAACCCUGAGUUGUUUCAUAUUCUAACACGAGGUCCCUAAUGCUAAAGGAAACAGGGGAGCUCGUCGUAGAGCUCACGAUUCGGCCGGAGGAGGCUUGGUGGCGACCGCUGAAGGGUGGAGAAGCACCGGGAGAGUAUCCCGCAUCCACAAGACCACCCAUCUUGGCC